Molecule: long non-coding RNA, 763 nt
Organism: Beta vulgaris subsp. vulgaris (sugar beet)
Lineage: Eukaryota; Viridiplantae; Streptophyta; Magnoliopsida; Caryophyllales; Amaranthaceae
Exons: 3
Source: RefSeq, a predicted model, not a curated record
UAUUUAUCAAAUCAAACCCACCCAAAUUUCAGAUUUUUCAUCAAAUCCAACGCAUCCAAAAUCACAAAAUUUAACCAUAACAAUGGCUAUAAAUAGCCAUGAUUUCUCCACCAUUAUCACUCACUCACAACUCCAAUUAAAUUCUCGCCGGAAAACCACCACCUUCGCCGGAAAAAUGCCCCCAAAAAACCCCUUAAAGCUUCCAUAUUUUCGCACCACAACUCUCUCCCCUCUGUUUCGGAUCAGCCACCGCACCGCCCUCGCAGCGCCGCUGCACUGCCGCGCCUCCUGUGCGCCACCACCACACCUACCCACCGACGCCUCCCUCCUCCCUCGCUCGUCCUCUUUCUCUCUCUCGUGCACCUCUCCUUCCUCUGUCGCGCCGCAGCCACUGCUGCUGCACCGAACCACCGUGGUCGACGAAUCUCCGACGGAUCACCACCUUGCUGUCUCUCGGUCGGAGCCCCACCCACUUCCAGUCAAUCUCUCUCCUCUGCUCUGUUUUCGGUCCUGCUCAAUUGAGCAGAGAUUAAACGGAAAGGAUAUUACAGCCUCCCCCGGCUUUCAAGGUUAUUAAGCAGGAAUCCAGGUAUGAGCAUAGCCAUUACAAGUGCGCUGUUAAUAAGGAACAUGUUCAAGGGAAAGUGUGCGGUAUCUGGUGUUGGAGAAAUUAUUAUUAUUAUUUGGGUCGAGUAUUUAUGUAUAGUUAUCAAGGACUAUUUAAGGUUGCAUUAUAUUAGUGGGCCAUAUCCCACAGGCUUAA